GACGUAGGGUGCAAGCGUUGUCCGGAAUUAUUGGGCGUAAAGAGCUCGUAGGCGGUCUGUCACGUCGGAAGUGAAAACCCGGGGCUUAACCCCGGGCUUGCUUUCGAUACGGGCAGACUAGAGUGUGGUAGGGGAGACUGGAAUUCCUGGUGUAGCGGUGAAAUGCGCAGAUAUCAGGAGGAACACCGGUGGCGAAGGCGGGUCUCUGGGCCACUACUGACGCUGAGGAGCGAAAGCGUGGGGAGCGAACAGG
This 253-nucleotide ribosomal RNA is filed under the name uncultured bacterium. Its description in RNAcentral is "partial 16S ribosomal RNA". It matches the Rfam family "Bacterial small subunit ribosomal RNA", at positions 524 to 776 of the family's 1533-position model. The record is from RNAcentral.